This 285-nucleotide unclassified non-coding RNA is filed under the name Hevea brasiliensis (rubber tree). The record is from RNAcentral. Lineage: Eukaryota; Viridiplantae; Streptophyta; Magnoliopsida; Malpighiales; Euphorbiaceae.
GCACACUAGUUGCCGAAAGAUCUGCAGUAAGUAGAGAUGAGAGCAAUCAGGUAUUUGAUUUUACACAAGUUCAAAUGGCCAACUGUAAUAUAAAAGACAUUUAUGGUAUGGACAACAUAUAACCAUCAUGUAACAAUGGAUCCAAAUCAUGUUUAUACUUCUAUGAAAUUCAUCCAUCAUCAAGUGGCUGAGGGUAGAAAAGCUAGUAAACUAAUGAAUCGGUUGGAAUGCAUCUGGAAGAGAACAAGAUUGUCUUCAGACCUGUAGCGUCCAAGGCACGGAUUG